CUCUUGCUGUAGGAGCACCAACCCGACGAGCAUCAUUUUUGUUGGUGCACAGAGGAAAGCUGUAGGUGAAGCCAGAAGAUCCCCCUUUGCCUGACAGGAGCUUUACAAAGGAAGGUCGGUCACCAGGUACCCAUUACGUAGGCAAAGGAAGCUGAGACUCAUGCAAAGCCUCUGGCAAAGGUGGAAACAAAACCUCGGGCUGUGAUCCUGCAUUAACAGCCUUCUGGAUCUGCCUGCCUGGAGCUCCUUACAGAUGAGCAGUCUGGGACUGGACCGGUGAAGACGUAACUCCCUUUGUGCCUGCUGUUACUGCUGAUCCCCCAAAAGGCUGCCUGUCGCUGCUGCUGGUGACACCCAGACCUCUGCCAUCGCAGCACCUGAUCACAGCAGGUCUCAACACCCGGCUACUCCCACAGAUGUCUUGAGGGCGAGGCAAGAGGGGGAGACACAAAAGGAGAUGUGGAGAAGUGUUGGAGAAGAGCAGAGAACAAACCUAGAGGAGUGGGCUGCUACAGGAACCAGCUUCACUUCUUGGCGUUGCAUUCUGCUGCAGCAUGGCUCCAGUCUGGGCUAUCCCAUAGCCUGUAGGGUCUGUGUUAACUCCACAUCUAUCAAAGCUGGCAUGAUGCAGGAGCUUAAAAUAGAAACCAAACACACUCCUUGCUGGAAGAAAAGGAGGAAGGGGUUGUCAGAGAUGUCUGCAGAACUCACCAUGUGUGGCCUGGACAUGGAAGCGGUGCCCCCUGGCCCCGUGGCUGGUGGGUGGAGCAUGAAGAGUGACACAGGAAUAUCCAAAACUGUGUGUGACAUACUUAGGGAAAUGCUAAAGCUGUUGGCUUCAAAGCAGGGGUUAAUCUGCUUGGCUUAGGGAAAAGGUGCUGAAUUUGAUGGACUGCUUGGCUGGUCCAGGACUGCAGUUCCUGAGUGCCUCUCAAGUUCGGUAUCACCAAGGACAUUACAAACGCUCAUCCACUUACAAUUUCUCCCAAGACAGGAAAAUUCAUGGGUAGUUUUUCACCAACAAGGACUGUUCUGAUCUUACAUGUUUUUAAAUGUUGUUGCCAAAUGAGACAACAUAAAUAAAACCCCACCCCAACAGGUCCUGACCUCGGCU
Molecule: long non-coding RNA, 1114 nt
Filed under: Chloebia gouldiae (Gouldian finch)
Lineage: Eukaryota; Metazoa; Chordata; Aves; Passeriformes; Passeridae
Description: Erythrura gouldiae (Gouldian finch) lncRNA (ENSEGOG00005011227.1)
Source: RNAcentral